AUGUCCUACGGGAGGCAGCAGUGAGGAAUAUUGGUCAAUGGGCUAAGGCCUGAACCAGCCAAGUCGCGUGAGGGAAGACGGUCCUAUGGAUUGUAAACCUCUUUUGUCGGGGAGCAACGAGGCCACGUGUGGCCGAAGUGAGAGUACCCGAAGAAAAAGCAUCGGCUAACUCCGUGCCAGCAGCCGCGGUAAUACGUAGGUGGCAAGCGUUAUCCGGAUUUAUUGGGUGUAAAGGGCGUGUAGGCGGGAAUGCAAGUCAGAUGUGAAAACUAUGGGCUCAACCCAUAGCCUGCAUUUGAAACUGG
This 305-nucleotide ribosomal RNA is filed under the name uncultured bacterium. RNAcentral describes it as "bacterial SSU rRNA". It matches the Rfam family "Bacterial small subunit ribosomal RNA", at positions 334 to 636 of the family's 1533-position model. The record is from RNAcentral.